UUCUUAUCAAGAGAGGCAGAGGGACCGGCCCCAUGAAGUCUCAGCAACGGGCUUAAAAUAAGUACCGUGCUAAUUCCGGAAUGAAGAUAAGAA
Molecule: non-coding RNA, 93 nt
Filed under: Sporolactobacillus laevolacticus
Lineage: Bacteria; Bacillati; Bacillota; Bacilli; Caryophanales; Sporolactobacillaceae
Also listed under: 1 other name
Description: SAM-I sequence
Rfam family: SAM riboswitch aptamer (S box leader)
About the family: The SAM riboswitch is found upstream of a number of genes which code for proteins involved in methionine or cysteine biosynthesis in Gram-positive bacteria. The SAM riboswitch acts at the level of transcription termination control.
Source: RNAcentral